This 259-nucleotide long non-coding RNA is filed under the name Gossypium barbadense (sea-island cotton). Its description in RNAcentral is "long non-coding RNA (GBAR_LNC019148)". Lineage: Eukaryota; Viridiplantae; Streptophyta; Magnoliopsida; Malvales; Malvaceae. The record is from RNAcentral.
UUGGAUACUCUGCAUAGUCUGUAAUUAACUCAGCUUCCAUAUUAUCUAGCAUCCAAGAACAUACUAACAGGUCUGUUUGCUCCCAUUUAGUAUAGUCCAAGGUGCUUUUCUCCGGUGGUGCUGGAACUCCAGUGAUGUGCCUUAACUGUCCUCUACUUCCGAUUGCCAUUCUCAUCAAGCGUGCCCAAAGAGAGUAAUUAUAUUGAUUUAAUUUUGUGCUUAGCGUAACUGUAUGAUGACUUUGUAAUGAUUGUUGUGG